Rattus norvegicus (Norway rat) is the source of this 73-nucleotide non-coding RNA. NCBI's taxonomy places the organism in Eukaryota, Metazoa, Chordata, Mammalia, Rodentia, Muridae. The record is from Rfam.
GGAGAGAUGGCUCAGUGGUUAAGAGCACUGACUGCUCUUCCAGAGGUCCUGAGUUCAAUUCUCAGCAACUACA